RNAcentral lists this ribosomal RNA (267 nucleotides) under uncultured bacterium. RNAcentral's name for it is "partial 16S ribosomal RNA". It matches the Rfam family "Bacterial small subunit ribosomal RNA", at positions 87 to 354 of the family's 1533-position model. The record is from RNAcentral.
CGGUUUUAGUGGCGGACGGGUGAGUAACGCGUGGGUAACCUGCCUCACACUGGGGGAUAACACUUAGAAAUAGGUGCUAAUACCGCAUAAGCGCACGGGACUGCAUGGUCUUGUGUGAAAAACUCCGGUGGUACAGGAUGGGCCCGCGUCUGAUUAGCCAGUUGGCAGGGUAACGGCCUACCAAAGCGACGAUCAGUAGCCGGCUUGAGAGAGUGAACGGCCACAUUGGGACUGAGACACGGCCCAAACUCCUACGGAAGGCAGCAG